Molecule: ribosomal RNA, 468 nt
Filed under: Triticum aestivum (bread wheat)
Lineage: Eukaryota; Viridiplantae; Streptophyta; Magnoliopsida; Poales; Poaceae
Description: partial small subunit ribosomal RNA
Source: RNAcentral
CUCAAGCUCCAACCCUACGUACAAUCGACGGUGGCCAAUCUCCCCUGCCCCAAGCUCGCCUACAAGUUCAUUGGCCCCUUCAAGGUUCUGCAAUGCAUUGGCACCAUGGCCUACAAGCUCCAGCUGCUAGAGGGCAGUCGUAUCCAUCCUGUCUUCCAUGUGUCACAGCUGAAGCCGUUCACGCCAGAUUACUCACCAGUUUUGUCUGAGCUGCCCCGCACACCUGACCUCACCGUGGCUCCACUCCAACCUGUCGCCAUCUUGGAUCGCUACAUGGUCAAGAAGGGAAACAACCCCGUGGUACAGGUACGCGUUAAGUGGUCAUCGCUCUCUAUGGAGUCUGCAACCUGGGAAGAUUACAAUGUGAUGCGCCAUCGCUACCCAGCGGCACCAUGCUGGACCGAAGACACUGUAGCUCAUGGAGGGGCAACUGUCACACCUGAUACAAGUGUAUCGGUGGACACAUGA